CCUAUGCCGGAUUAGCUUGUUGGUGGGGUAACGGCCUACCAAGGCGACGAUCCGUAGCUGGUCUGAGAGGACGACCAGCCACACUGGGACUGAGACACGGCCCAGACUCCUACGGGAGGCAGCAGUAGGGAAUAUUGGACAAUGGGCGAAAGCCUGAUCCAGCAAUGCCGCGUGUGUGAAGAAGGCCUAUGGGUUGUAAAGCACUUUCAGUUGGGAAGAAAAGCUUUAGGUUAAUACCCUAGAGUCUUGACGUUACCAAUAGAAGAAGCACCGGCUAACUCUGUGCCAGCAGCCGCGGUAAGACAGAGGGUGCGAGCGUUAAUCGGAAUUACUGGGCGUAAAGCGUACGUAGGUGGUUGAGUAAGUCGGAUGUGAAAGCCCAAGGCUUAACCUUGGAACUGCAUUCGAUACUGUUCAACUAGAGUACAGUAGAGGGAAGCG
Molecule: ribosomal RNA, 441 nt
Filed under: uncultured bacterium
Lineage: Bacteria
Description: bacterial SSU rRNA
Rfam family: Bacterial small subunit ribosomal RNA
Source: RNAcentral